This 2133-nucleotide long non-coding RNA is filed under the name Rattus norvegicus (Norway rat). RNAcentral's name for it is "long non-coding RNA NONRATT030541". Lineage: Eukaryota; Metazoa; Chordata; Mammalia; Rodentia; Muridae. The record is from RNAcentral.
CAUUUUCAUCCCAUACUUUAAGCUACUAGCACAAUGCUUAACAUAUAAUUUGUGCUCUGAAAAUGUUCAUUUCUCCUUUUCAAGUCAAUAUUGAAUAUAAAAAUAAUUUUUAUAUUACUGGAGUAUAAAGUGAAAUGGAGAAUGGGUUUUGUCCUCUCCACCCCCUUUCUCUCCUAGUCCUUUCACACCCAACACCCAAAAACGUUUACAUUCUUCACUGCGGUCUUUCCAGAUUUGGGAAAGACCUAACUUCUAUCUUAGCUAUCUUAGAGAGGUGAAACUUUUGAUGAAGGUGCUAUUAAUCUAGAAAGGCAAACCUGUUUUAAUGAAGUAUGAUUAAGUUUAUAUGCUUAAACUGUAUUUUAAACCAGUACCUAUGCUGUCUUAACAGUUUGAGUUUGGAUAUUUGUUUCUUAAUUCUAGCAGAUCAUCAUAGUAAAACUCAUUGACUUCUAGAAGAAAGCUAAACUGGAUAUUUAUAAUAGUUUUUUCUUGUUCUGGAUCCAGAUUGAGAAUACAAGUCCCUCAGUCCUCAGCCAGUUUCUCCUUUGGUUACGCAUAUGUUGUUGAGUCCUCCUCUAGCCUCCACGUCAUGUUAGAGGACAGUGAGAAUAGCAUUUCAGGCCUCACUGCCAGAAGAGAACCUGUUUGAGAGCAGCUGUAUUCCUAGGAGAGGAGGGUCAUUUAGAGAGGGGAUCAAGCACAUUGCUUUCAGGUGGCCACUAGUUUAGGUAAUGAGCCACUGCUCAGAACAGGUUUUGUGCGUGCAUGUGUGUAUGUGUAGAUGUACAUACACAGAGAGACAGACGGAGAGAGGCAGAGAGGGAGAAAGAACACACAUCUGCUUUGAGGUUCUUUAUACGUUCUUUGUUACUUCCUUACUUACCCAGCAACCAUUGUCCCUGUCAGAAAGCAUCAUGGACACUUUGUUGUCCAGUGCUAAUACAGAUUUGGCUAGGGGCCACCUUUGAACUUAAAUAUCCAAAGAUGCUUUUGAAUUUAAAGAUUAAAAUACAACUCAAAUAUUUACUCUUGUAGUUUUAAAAGUAUAGUUGUUAGGUGUGAAGUAGAAAUGUUGCUUUUCCUACUUUAGUAUCAACAUUUUAGUAUGUUAAAUUUGAUGCCUUAUGAACAAAUAAUUUUAUAUUAUGCUUUAAUUUUUUAAAAAUGUCUUCAUUCAGCUAGAUAUAGAGAAUGAUUGAAAUAGCACUAUAGAUAAGAUGUUUCCAAAAAUGUGAGUGUGCAUAUCUUUUCUGUACACAGCUUAAAAUCAAAAAGAUAUAGUAGAGGAUUUUUCCAUUAUGUGUAGUUUCUGUUUUAAAAUUAUUUUUCAUAAUAUUUAUUUUAUUCUACUUUGUUAUUUUCUUUGUAUGAGGCAUCUGGUUAAUAAUAAUAAUUCUCCUCCUCCUCCUCCUCUUCCUCCUCCUUCUUCUUCUUUUCUUCAUAUAGACAUUCCUGAUAAUCACUCCUUUGAGUUAUUUUGUUUUCUGUAUUAAAAAGACCUAUUUCUGUACCAAAUAUAAACAUACAGAUUCAUGCCAAAUCUUUACCAACUUUGACACUAACUUUCUUACGUCCUUUAGUCUGGUGUGAGUAACUAGAUAGAACACAAAUCCUAAAAUUCUUAUUCCUCAAUCAUAUUAGCUUCUUUAAUGAUGUUGUUAAUAAUUAACUUUUGUAGCCAUAACCAGGUGUCUCAACCUUGUGUUUUUAAAGAAAUGUAUUGUAAAACUUUGGUUAGAAUCCAAAACAGGAGCGGGCAACUUUGUGCAAUAUUUCGUUACAGUAGUUUAGUUUAUUUUUUCCUCAUGCGCAUGUAAUUGAUAUUUCUGCCGAAGAUGUGCCUUCAACUUUAUAAUUAUAGUGUUGUUUUAAAAAAAUGUUGUCAAGUGUUGCUGUGUUAAGUCAUCCAGCCCCCUCUACCCUCGUUGUGUUAUUUGGGGUUGUUUGGCUGUUUCAGCUGUUAAUCCAUGCUGUACCAGGACCAGAGGCAGCAGCACACAUUCAGGUAGGGGACAAAAGUCUGUUGUCUUUCCGAUCCCACUGCCCUGGUGCUGUCACUUAGAACAAGAGACAAAGGAAUGUGUAUGGCCUCUUCUCCUUUGUAGUGUCUAAUAAAUUCUUGAUAUAGUA